CCCUACGGGGCGCAGCAGUGGGGGAUAUUGCACAAUGGGGGAAACCCUGAUGCAGCGACGCCGCGUGAGUGAAGAAGUAUUUCGGUAUGUAAAGCUCUAUCGGCAGGGAAGAAAAAAAUGACAGUACCUGACUAAGAAGCCCCGGCUAACUACGUGCCAGCAGCCGCGGUAAUACGUAGGGGGCAAGCGUUAUCCGGAUUUACUGGGUGUAAAGGGAGCGCAGGCGGCGCGGUAAGUCUGAUGUGAAAGCCCGGGGCUCAACCCCGGGACUGCAUUGGAAACUGUCGUGCUGGAGUGUCGGAAGG
This 305-nucleotide ribosomal RNA is filed under the name uncultured bacterium. Its description in RNAcentral is "bacterial SSU rRNA". It matches the Rfam family "Bacterial small subunit ribosomal RNA", at positions 337 to 656 of the family's 1533-position model. The record is from RNAcentral.